GGAAUCUGAGAUUUAAGAGGUCUGGUUCAAGCUUAUGGGGAGAUGAUGAUGAGGCGAAGGCACGAGAGCAGCAGGAAGUAUGAGAGCGCAGCGGCGGUGCUGUGGCUACUGCUGCCUCUUCUAGUUUUGGUUGCUCUCAACACUAACUUCCUGCCACAACUUGCACGCUAUUGGAUUGUCGGGUCACCACCUUGGGCAGCAUGAAGAGACAGGAUGACCAACGACAUCGCUGCAACUAGAGAUGUGGCAGCACCAAUAAUAAGCAGCAAGUUAACCUGCAACUUCACCACCUUUCGGUCGAACACCUGCACAAUGGAAGGAAAAAGAAGCCGAUGGAAGAUCCCAGAGAGGGCCGUUUGGGUUUGGGCAUUCGGAUCAAAGCUGUCAGUUUUGGUCAAAGAGAUGAUAUAGCGUUGGUCAAAAGCGACCUGGACUCGGUCAAGUAGACGACUGGAUGCAAUUCGAA
Panicum hallii is the source of this 466-nucleotide long non-coding RNA. RefSeq lists it as uncharacterized. NCBI's taxonomy places the organism in Eukaryota, Viridiplantae, Streptophyta, Magnoliopsida, Poales, Poaceae. The record is from RefSeq and is a predicted model, not a curated record. The transcript is spliced from 4 exons.